GAUGAACGCUGACAGAAUGCUUAACACAUGCAAGUCUUUGGCGAAGCUGUGCUUGCACAGCCUAGCCAAGGCGGACGGGUGAGUAACGCGUAAGGAACUUGCCCUGCAGUCAGGGAUAACAGACGGAAACGACUGAUAAGACCUGGUAAAGUCAGGCGGACUCAUGUCCAGCCUGAUGAAAAGAGAUGCUGCAGGAGAGCCUUGCGUCCUAUUAGCUUGUUGGUGGGGUAACGGCCCACCAAGGCGAUGAUAGGUAGCCGGCCUGAGAGGGUGGACGGCCACAAGGGGACUGAGAUACGGCCCUUACUCCUACGGGAGGCAGCAGUGGGGAAUAUUGGACAAUGGGGGCAACCCUGAUCCAGCAAUUCUGUGUGCACGAUGAAGGUUUUCGGAUUGUAAAGUGCUUUCAGCAGGGAAGAAAAAAAUGACAGUACCUGCAGAAGAAGCGACGGCUAAAUACGUG
Molecule: ribosomal RNA, 463 nt
Filed under: uncultured bacterium
Lineage: Bacteria
Description: partial 16S ribosomal RNA
Rfam family: Bacterial small subunit ribosomal RNA
Source: RNAcentral